CCCUGCACUUUUCAUUCGCACCCAGCUGAAAAGACAUUAAUACCCCUACGCUAGUUAAGUCACGCAGCGUGACUUAACUAACACACCUUAUAAUCUUUGUGUGAGUUAAGUCACACACCACUGACAUUUUGCGCGAGUUAACUCACGCACAUUGGCCAGUAGCCAGAACUGAAGAACACAUGUUUUUUGGACGGUGUUCAAUGCAUUUUAAUUGGUUUUGCACGUUUUUGUUAUGUUUUUUCACGUUUUUUUGACUAUAUUUAUGGUAGAUACAACCUAUGUUACAAUCUCCUCCUAUAAAUACAC
Molecule: long non-coding RNA, 306 nt
Filed under: Medicago truncatula (barrel medic)
Lineage: Eukaryota; Viridiplantae; Streptophyta; Magnoliopsida; Fabales; Fabaceae
Description: long non-coding RNA (MTRU_LNC000457)
Source: RNAcentral